This 517-nucleotide ribosomal RNA is filed under the name Sporolithon yoneshigueae. Its description in RNAcentral is "eukaryotic LSU rRNA". It matches the Rfam family "Eukaryotic large subunit ribosomal RNA", at positions 1320 to 1839 of the family's 3401-position model. Lineage: Eukaryota; Rhodophyta; Florideophyceae; Sporolithales; Sporolithaceae. The record is from RNAcentral.
GGAUGACGCUAAAGCGGACAGCCGACACCACGCCGUUUGGGUAAGAAGCGGCCCAAAUGAGUAGGAGGGCGUGGCGGUCUUUUUUGUUACGAAGGUGUGGGCGCAAGCCUCACUGAAACGGCCGUUAGUGCAGAUCUUGGUGGUAGUAGCAAAUAUUCAAGCGAGAACCUUGAAGGGCGAAGCGGGGAAGGGUUCCACGCGAACAUUGAUUGGGCGUGGGUGAGUCGUUCCUAAGCCGGGUGGUAAUCGUUCGUACGAUCGGCGAAAGGGAAGCGGGUUAAAAUUCUCGCACACGGAUGUGGAGGCGGUGACGCAAACCGAGGCAAAGACGUCGGUGACGGCGCUGGGCAGAGUUGUCUUUUCUGUUUGACCUGUGUGACGCAUGGUGUGGAAUCCGAUUAUCGGGAGAAACACAUGCCGAGGGGCAGAGCGCCGGGAUUUUCCGGCGUCCAGCACGCCGUCAACGAACCUUGAAAAUUUGUCUGCGAUAGUUGAGGGGAGAAACGCCGGUUACCCG